This 461-nucleotide long non-coding RNA is filed under the name Homo sapiens (human). RNAcentral describes it as "HSALNT0393761". Lineage: Eukaryota; Metazoa; Chordata; Mammalia; Primates; Hominidae. The record is from RNAcentral.
CCGGCGCCCACCCGGAACCCGCGCCGGCCCGGGAGCGCCGCGCAGCCCGGGCUCCCGCCCGUGCCUCCGCCUCCACACCUCCCCGCGAGCAGAGGGAGCCGGCUCCGGCCUCGGCCAGCCCCAGAGAGGGGGUCCCCACAGCGCAGCGGCGGGCUAAAGGGCUCCUCCAGCGCGGCCAGAGCGGACGCCUAGGCCGAGGAGAUGCCGAGAGGGAGCGAGGGCUGCUAGAACGUUGUCACCUCUCAAAACCUGGGUUAAACCUGGGUAACCUGGGUUACUCUCUACUGGUAGAGACAUUGGCUUCUCACUGCAGACCUUGAUAGAAAUGUGUAAUGAUUAAUUUUAUUUUGACUUAACAACGAAUUAAUUUUAUCUUAAAUUAACAACUUGACUGAGUGUGUUUGUAUGUUUCCCGAACAGAGUAGCAUUUGAAUCAAUAGGCUGUGUAAAGAAGAUCUGCA